RNAcentral lists this non-coding RNA (84 nucleotides) under Ochromonas sp. CCMP1393. Lineage: Eukaryota; Chrysophyceae; Chromulinales; Chromulinaceae. The record is from RNAcentral.
GCUGGGCGUGGUGGCGGGCGCCUGUAGUCCCAGCUACUUGGGAGGCUGAGGCAGGAGAAUUGCUUGAACCUGGGAGGCAGAGGU